UUGAGUAUAAGCAAUUGCUUGUAGGAUUGACAGAAGGACCAGCUUUAGAGUCAGUAGUUGGAAGUCUGUUCAGUAACUUUGUUCACUGUGUAGAUUAUAAAUAGCACAAAAUUAAUUAGUGCUUAAUCAGCAGCUCAUCACUUGAAGUACAUGUAAGAGCCUGUGACCGAUACCAAGAUCUCAAUGACUGCCAGGGAAACUGGCAAUGUUCAAAGGCUGCAGCAAGUGCUCAUCCUUCAUCACUAGCCUCAGUGUGCAAUCAAUCUAAAGCAGUGUGGAACUGUGGAUGUCUUCAGUAUCAGAGAUUCUUUGGCUGUCUCUGCUGCUGCUUCUCCUGCACCACAAGUUUGUGUGGAACUGUGGAUGUACUGCCAGAUGUGUGGAACUGUGGAUGUACUGCCAGAGCUUCUUUGGUUGUUUCUACUGCUGAUCCUUCUGCACUGAAAGUAUAGUAUGGAAGUGUGGAUGUCCUCAGUAGCAGAGCUUCUUUGGUUGUUUCUGCUACUGCUUCUUCUGCAUCAGAAGUGUAGUGUGGAACUGUGGAUGUCCUAUCAGAUCUUUGGUUGUUUCUACUGCUGAUUCUUCUGCAUCAAAAUUAUAGUGCUGAAGUGUGGAUGGGGUUAAGUAGCAGAGCUUCUUUGGUUGUUUCUUCUACUGCUUCUUUGGUUGUUUCUUCUACUGCUUCUUCUGCAUCAAAAAUAUAGUGUGGGACUGUGGAUGUCUUCAGUAGUAAAGCUUCUUUGGUUGUUUCUGCUGUUUCUCCUGCUGCUGCUUGUUCAUCAAAUGUAGGUUUGGGACUGUGGAUGUCCUCACAACCAGAACUUCUGUGGUUGUUUCCUCUGCUGCUUCUUGUUCAUCAUAUGUAGUGUGGCACUGUAGGUGUUUCUGCUACUGCUGCUUGUUCAUCAAAUGCAGUGUGGAACUGUGGAUGUCCUCAGCAUCAGAGAUUCUUUUGGUGGUUUCUUCUGGUGCUGCUUCUUUUUCUUUUUGCCUUCAUCAGCCUUAAGACAAAGGAGUGAAGCUGCACCAUGAAUGCCUCUUUCCAUGGGAUGAAAGAAAUAAACUCUUGCCAUUGAUUGUAGCUUUGAGGAACAGCUGCAUAUAUCAAGGUUCAGGUGGUAACUCUUGUGAGCAGGAAGAAGCCUAAUUGCUCUUCUUUCUUACUACUUGAUGAUCAUGAUAGAUAAGGAUUCUUCAUCCUGUCUUGUAAUGAAAGUUCAACAUUGAAAUAAUAUUGAAAUCAGACUUGUCUUUUGUGCUUUAA
This is a long non-coding RNA of Musa acuminata AAA Group (dessert banana), 1264 nucleotides long. RefSeq lists it as uncharacterized. NCBI's taxonomy places the organism in Eukaryota, Viridiplantae, Streptophyta, Magnoliopsida, Zingiberales, Musaceae. The transcript has 2 exons. The record is from RefSeq and is a predicted model, not a curated record.